Molecule: ribosomal RNA, 402 nt
Filed under: uncultured prokaryote
Description: bacterial SSU rRNA
Rfam family: Bacterial small subunit ribosomal RNA
Source: RNAcentral
UGGGGAAUCUUGCACAAUGGGGGAAACCCUGAUGCAGCGACGCCGCGUGAGCGAUGAAGCCCUUCGGGGUGUAAAGCUCUUUCGGCAGGGACGAUGAUGACGGUACCUGCAGAAGCAGCUGCGGCUAACUACGUGCCAGCAGCCGCGGUAAUACGUAGGCAGCAAGCGUUGUUCGGAGUUACUGGGCGUAAAGGGUGUGUAGGCGGCUAUUUAAGUUUGGUGUGAAAUCUCCCGGCUCAACUGGGAGGGUGCGCCGAAUACUGAGUGGCUAGAGUGCGGGCGAGGAGAGUGGAAUUCCUGGUGUAGCGGUGAAAUGCGUAGAUAUCAGGAGGAACACCGGCGGUGUAGACGGCUCUCUGGACCGUAACUGACGCUGAGACACGAAAGCGUGGGUAGCAAACA